GGCGAUUUGAAGGCGGUCCUGAUCUGAAUGCCACUUGAAGUGUUUGGCCAUUGUGAUAUUUGAACGGGCCCAACAAAAGGUGCUUUUCAACUACAAGAGAGCAAGAAAGGGCCAGACAGUGUCUUCACUGGGAGGGAGCCUAGAGCUCUUCCAGAAAAAUGCCGGAAAACCAGAAACUCCCGUGAGCUGGAAGUUAGCUUCCGGGAGACCCUUCCUGAGGCUGGUUCGCGAUCGAGGACGGAUGCCAGUGGGCUGUGUCUCUUUCGCAUCCUUGUUGGAGAUAGGGCCUGGGCAGUGAUGGGUCUGCCUUUGGGAAGUAGUUCCAGUCUCGCCCUUCUGGAGGGAAGCCUUGCUUGCUAUGGACUGUAGUAACGAACAGGCUGAUCUAAGCAGAACACCACCACGAGGUGAGUCCGGUAAUAAACCCAUUUCCGUCUUGAUCUCGGAGAAGUUGAGACAUGGCCAGGUGGCAGAGGUUUAAGCAGAGUUCUUUGCUGGAAGAUGCUGACCUACAACUCCACGGACCGUCGCUUCCCGGACCGUCGCUUCCCAUCCCAGUCCUGCCUUGGUAUCCUCGCUUGUAAGACGAGGGUCCGACUGCUGGCUGUGAUGAAGAGGAGGAGGAGUGAGAAUUAUGUGCUGGCACGGAGCGGUUACUCAAUAAACAGAGAUGGUAAU
This 678-nucleotide long non-coding RNA is filed under the name Rattus norvegicus (Norway rat). RNAcentral describes it as "long non-coding RNA NONRATT005010". The record is from RNAcentral. Lineage: Eukaryota; Metazoa; Chordata; Mammalia; Rodentia; Muridae.